CACCGGGGGAUUGCCUUAGUAACGGCGAGUGAAGCGGCAAAAGCUCAAAUUUGAAAUCUGGUACCUUCGGUGCCCGAGUUGUAAUUUGGAGAGGGCAACUUUGGGGCCGUUCCUUGUCUAUGUUCCUUGGAACAGGACGUCAUAGAGGGUGAGAAUCCCGUGUGGCGAGGAGUGCGGUUCUUUGUAAAGUGCCUUCGAAGAGUCGAGUUGUUUGGGAAUGCAGCUCUAAGUGGGUGGUAAAUUCCAUCUAAAGCUAAAUAUUGGCGAGAGACCGAUAGCGAACAAGUACAGUGAUGGAAAGAUGAAAAGAACUUUGAAAAGAGAGUGAAAAAGUACGUGAAAUUGUUGAAAGGGAAGGGCAUUUGAUCAGACAUGGUGUUUUGUGCCCUCUGCUCCUUGUGGGUAGGGGAAUCUCGCAUUUCACUGGGCCAGCAUCAGUUUUGGUGGCAGGAUAAAUCCAUAGGAAUGUAGCUUGCCUCGGUAAGUAUUAUAGCCUGUGGGAAUACUGCCAGCUGGGACUGAGGACUGCGACGUAAGUCAAGGAUGCUGGCAUAAUGGUUAUAUGCCGCCCGUCUUGAAC
Molecule: ribosomal RNA, 580 nt
Filed under: Saccharomyces cerevisiae (brewer's yeast)
Lineage: Eukaryota; Fungi; Ascomycota; Saccharomycetes; Saccharomycetales; Saccharomycetaceae
Description: eukaryotic LSU rRNA
Rfam family: Eukaryotic large subunit ribosomal RNA
Source: RNAcentral